This 377-nucleotide ribosomal RNA is filed under the name uncultured bacterium. Its description in RNAcentral is "partial 16S ribosomal RNA". It matches the Rfam family "Bacterial small subunit ribosomal RNA", at positions 355 to 749 of the family's 1533-position model. The record is from RNAcentral.
UGGGGAAUAUUGGACAAUGGGCGCAAGCCUGAUCCAGCCAUGCCGCGUGAGUGAUGAAGGCCUUAGGGUUGUAAAGCUCUUUCGCCGGUGAAGAUAAUGACGGUAACCGGAGAAGAAGCCCCGGCUAACUUCGUGCCAGCAGCCGCGGUAAUACGAAGGGGGCUAGCGUUGCUCGGAAUCACUGGGCGUAAAGCGCACGUAGGCGGAUCGUUAAGUCAGGGGUGAAAUCUGGAGCUCAACUCCAGAACUGCCCUUGAUACUGGCGAUCUCGAGUUCGAGAGGAGGUUGGUGGAACUCCGAGUGUAGAGGUGAAAUUCGUAGAUAUUCGGAAGAACACCAGUGGCGAAGGCGGCCAACUGGCUCGAUACUGACGCUGA